Molecule: long non-coding RNA, 1237 nt
Filed under: Oryza brachyantha (malo sina)
Lineage: Eukaryota; Viridiplantae; Streptophyta; Magnoliopsida; Poales; Poaceae
Description: long non-coding RNA (OBRA_LNC002996)
Source: RNAcentral
GCAUUUCAGUACAUUGAGUAGCUUUAUUAUUGAGAUGCUAGCAGGACUCAUGCACACAUAUGCUAGCAGUCAGACAAAGUAGGUAACAGGAACAAAAUAUUUAUUUGUUGUCACUACCUAAAUAAGUGUGAGAUGUGGCUGACUGUCGCCUUCUCCUCGAGCUUGAACUAUAUCCACUUGCUUGGGUUAAGCGCUGAAAAGCAAGGCAAAAAUUGUUAGGUGGAAGAAAAUGCGGAACGACAUACCACCUACCUAUCUUUUACCAAAAUCCCUUGAUCUGGAGUGCUUAGCUAACUAUAUAGCACAACAGAAAAAUGGUUACAUAUACAACCACUAUAGCACAGGGCUAAAAAUGAUGAAAGAAAUCUGUAUCUAGAGCGCUUAGCUAACUGUCUGAAGAUUACAUAAGUUGCAAGGCUUUCUACAUCUAGUCCAAUGGAUUUUAUUUUAUGCCAUUUUAAGUCAUAACUCAGAAUUAUAUUUUGAGAGGGAUAAUCUUGGUAUAAUUUGUGCUAAUUAAUUUCUGCUACAAGACAUUUGUACAAACAAAGACAAAAUUGUUUGUCAGUUACCUGCAAAUCAGCUAUCUGAAAUCAACUAUCAGCUAUGGUUCGUUGCCAUGGUUUGAUAAGUGAUACUUUUUAUCACAAAUAUGGACCAAUUGUUUAUUUAUCUACAUAUCAGACAAGCUUAUCCUUGAUAACUAAACAAGCAUCCAAUUGUUAGUGGAUAUAUUCAGUAAACAUGUCCAGUUGAACAAUUAAGAAAUAAUAAUAAGAAGUGCAUGUUCACCUGGGGUAUUAUUUUAUCACAACUGAAGUAUAAAACAUGUAAAAUACCCAUUCCAAUAUAGCGUUAUACUGGAUACAACUUUUAAAUAGUGAUAACAUCCAAAGUUAUACAACCUUUUAUUGGCUCCAACAACCAAUCACCAAGAUCCUUUGCUGUUGCAGCAUGAUCCCAAUCGAAGAAACAUUGCAUCGGAUUUUCCAAUUAACAAAAAUCACAUAGGAGAUAGGAGGAUGUGAGAAGGUUCAGGAGAAAGAGGACGAACCGGCGGGGCCUUCCUCUUGCCAAGAGAAUCAAAUGGCAGACUAUUGGCAGUCGGUGAGGCGAGUGUCAGCGACAGCGGCAUGUAGAGGCAGGAAAAUGAGGCAACGGUAAGAGGCUGUCCGUCCAAUCGUCUCACUGAACAAGAGAAAGCUCAAAAAGAGAAAAAAAACAUGUACAGAGAANN